Molecule: long non-coding RNA, 414 nt
Organism: Oncorhynchus tshawytscha (Chinook salmon)
Lineage: Eukaryota; Metazoa; Chordata; Actinopteri; Salmoniformes; Salmonidae
Source: Ensembl
AGAGAGUAGGGUUUAGAGAGUAGGGGUUGGGGAGUUGGGAAUAGAGAGUAGGGACUAGAGAGCAGGGGCUAGAGAGUAGUGACUAGAGAGUAGAGAAGUAGGGGGUAGAGAGUAGGGACUAGAGAGUAGGGACUAGAGAGUAGGGGAUAGAGAGUAGGGGUUGGGGAGUAGGGACUGGAGAGUAGGGACUAGAGAGUAGGGGAAACAGAGUAGGGGUUGAAAGAGUAGGGACUAGAGAUUAGGGGUUGGGGAGUACGGACUAGAGAGUAGGGACUGGAGAGUAAGGACUAGAGAGUAGGGACUAGAGACUAGGGGAUAGAGAGUUGGGACAAGAGAGUAGGGGAUAGAGAAUAGAGAGUCGGGACUAGAGAGUAGGGGAUAGAGAGUAGGGACUAGAGAGUAGGGACUAGAGAG